GCAAGUCGAGCGGGAUCUUCGGAUCUAGCGGCGGACGGGUUAGUAACGCGUGGGAACGUACCCAGAUCUACGGAAUAGCCUCGGGAAACUGAGAGUAAUACCGUAUACGCCCUUCGGGGGAAAGAUUUAUCGGAUUUGGAUCGGCCCGCGUAAGAUUAGAUAGUUGGUGGGGUAAUGGCCUACCAAGUCUACGAUCCUUAGCUGGUUUGAGAGGAUGAUC
Molecule: ribosomal RNA, 220 nt
Filed under: uncultured bacterium
Lineage: Bacteria
Description: partial 16S ribosomal RNA
Rfam family: Bacterial small subunit ribosomal RNA
Source: RNAcentral